GAUGAACGCUGGCGGCGUGCCUAAUACAUGCAAGUAGAACGCUGAAGCUUGGUGCUUGCACCGAGCGGAUGAGUUGCGAACGGGUGAGUAACGCGUAGGUAACCUGCCUCUUAGCGGGGGAUAACUAUUGGAAACGAUAGCUAAUACCGCAUAAAAGUUGACAUUGCAUGAUGUUGAUUUGAAAGAUGCAAUUGCAUCACUAAGAGAUGGACCUGCGUUGUAUUAGCUAGUUGGUGAAGUAACGGCUCACCAAGGCGACGAUACAUAGCCGACCUGAGAGGGUGAUCGGCCACACUGGGACUGAGACACGGCCCAGACUCCUACGGGAGGCAGCAGUAGGGAAUCUUCGGCAAUGGGGGCAACCCUGACCGAGCAACGCCGCGUGAGUGAAGAAGGUUUUCGGAUCGUAAAGCUCUGUUGUAAGAGAAGAACGAGUGUGAGAGUGGAAAGUUCACACUGUGACGGUAACUUACCAGAAAGGGACGGCUAACUACGUGCCAGCAGCCGCGGUAAUACGUAGGUCCCGAGCGUUAUCCGGAUUUAUUGGGCGUAAAGCGAGCGCAGGCGGUUAGAUAAGUCUGAAGUUAAAGGCUGUGGCUUAACCAUAGUACGCUUUGGAAACUGUUUAACUUGAGUGCAGAAGGGGAGAGUGGAAUUCCAUGUGUAGCGGUGAAAUGCGUAGAUAUAUGGAGGAACACCCGGUGGCGAAAGCGGCUCUCUGGUCUGUAACUGACGCUGAGGCUCGUAAGCGUGC
Molecule: ribosomal RNA, 754 nt
Filed under: uncultured Streptococcus sp.
Lineage: Bacteria; Bacillati; Bacillota; Bacilli; Lactobacillales; Streptococcaceae
Description: bacterial SSU rRNA
Rfam family: Bacterial small subunit ribosomal RNA
Source: RNAcentral